GGGUCAGUAGGUUGGUCGUGCCACCGGUACGUACUGGUCUCACUGAUUCCUCCUUCCUGAAGAACCGUAAUGCCAUUAAUUUGGUGUUGCGGGGAAACAGGACUGUCACUUUGAAAAAAUUAGAGUGUUUAAAGCAAGCUAACGCUUGAAUACAUUAGCAUGGAAUAAUGAAAUAGGGCGAUCGAUCCUAUUUUGUUGGUUUCUAGGAUUGACGUA
This 216-nucleotide ribosomal RNA is filed under the name Glomeromycotina sp. Its description in RNAcentral is "partial small subunit ribosomal RNA". The stretch from base 40 to 216 matches the Rfam family "Eukaryotic small subunit ribosomal RNA", at positions 686 to 864 of the family's 1831-position model. Lineage: Eukaryota; Fungi; Glomeromycota. The record is from RNAcentral.